Molecule: long non-coding RNA, 313 nt
Filed under: Coturnix japonica (Japanese quail)
Lineage: Eukaryota; Metazoa; Chordata; Aves; Galliformes; Phasianidae
Description: lncRNA (ENSCJPG00005015401.1)
Source: RNAcentral
GUCAAACUGUGUAGUUCUGGCUGAAAAUCACAUAAAUGGAAUAUCAUGAUCUGUUUCUUGUGAGGCCUCAGAGCACAUGUCCUCAAAGAGGUGGAAGCAUGACAGAGAAGUUUCCUGAUCUUUCUGUAUAAAACAGCCUGAAUGUAAGCCACUGAAAAUUUCCUCCAAAAAUCAUGGGUACUACUGCGGCUCAGAUACAUCUCAUUUGAAACUAUUGCAGCAACCGAGAAGAAUCUUUAUCCCUCUGGAAAACAGAAGAAAUACAUGUAUCAGAGUGAAAUGUUGCUGAAAUUAACUAAGUGUUUUUAGCACA